UUCCAGACUCCUACGGGAGGCAGCAGUGAGGAAUAUUGGUCAAUGGGCGGGAGCCUGAACCAGCCAAGUCGCGUGAGGGAUGACGGCCCUAUGGGUUGUAAACCUCUUUUGCCGGGGAGCAAAGUGCCGCACGUGUGCGGUUUGGAGAGUACCCGGAGAAAAAGCAUCGGCUAACUCCGUGCCAGCAGCCGCGGUAAUACGGAGGAUGCGAGCGUUAUCCGGAUUUACUGGGUGUAAAGGGAGCGUAGACGGUUAAUCAAGUCUGAAGUGAAAGCCCGCGGCUCAACUGCGGAACGGCUUUGGAAACUGAGUAACUGGAGUGCUGGAGGGGCAGGCGGAAUUCCUGGUGUAGCGGUGAAAUGCGUAGAUAUCAGGAGGAACACCGGUGGCGAAGGCGGCCUGCUGGACAGUAACUGACGUUGAGGCUCGAAAGCGUGGGGAGCAAACAGGAUUAGAUACCCCAGUAAA
RNAcentral lists this ribosomal RNA (468 nucleotides) under uncultured bacterium. Its description in RNAcentral is "bacterial SSU rRNA". It matches the Rfam family "Bacterial small subunit ribosomal RNA", at positions 329 to 794 of the family's 1533-position model. The record is from RNAcentral.